CAUUUAACUAAUUUUAUUUCAUCAUCUUACACCCUAAAGGGUUUAAGUCAAUUUACAAAGAGACAUAAAAUAAUAUGAAAUCACAUACAGACAAAGCGGGAAUAGAUCAAAAGUAGGGGACCCUGCUAGAGCUAAGAAUGAGGCUGCCUGGCCGGGCGGCCCUGCAGAUCCAGACCUUCCCAUCAGGGAAUAUAGAGCCUGAAGGACCACACUGCUCAAUGGGACCA
RNAcentral lists this long non-coding RNA (227 nucleotides) under Bos taurus (domestic cattle). RNAcentral's name for it is "long non-coding RNA NONBTAT010579". The record is from RNAcentral. Lineage: Eukaryota; Metazoa; Chordata; Mammalia; Artiodactyla; Bovidae.